CAAGAUUCAUUUUCUAUGGUAUGUUCCACCCCGUUGUGCUCUGCUGAUGAUGAUGAUGACCGAAUUGAGAUUUUUCAAAGCUUCUGAUAAUUCGUCGCCAUUUUUUUGCCUUUAUUUUUUCAAACAAGUCCAUGACUUUCUGAUUUGGUGAAGUUCAAAAAAAAAAUAAAAAAUUAAUGAAUGAAAUUAAUAAGUUCAAUUAAUGCUUGAAAACUUACAAUGGUAAACUCUAAAUAUGAUUGCUUGAUUUUAGGCGUGAAAAAAGCAAUUGAAUAAUGGAGAAUAAACAGAUUUGUAAUGGGAGAGAAAAAGAGGGAGGAAAAGGUAGCCUUUUUGGGAUGUCAUUACUAAAUAAAGAGAUUAUUGUAAUUAUUUUGGGCUUUAUAUAAAUACUUUACCAAUUUGAGAUUUAAUGUAAUUAUGUAACUUUAACUUGUGUAUAUAGGUAAAAAUGUGUAUAUAGGUAAUUUUUAGUUAAUUAAUUUACAAAUAUUUAUCAGCACAAAUAAAUAAUACAAGCUACAAAUAAGCAAUAUAAAGUACAAAAAUAGAUAUAAGAAUUGAAAUUGGGCCCUUAGUUGACCCAUAACUAAAGCUGCCCAUUGUUUGGGCUUUGAAUUAUGGACUUUAGGUCCAUUUUUCUGAACUGUAUACCAGCUGUAUAUCACAGCUGUUUCCCCUGCGUUUUUCAUGUAUAUCUCCAAGUAUACACUGUAUAUCAGUGUAGAAAUCAACAUAUUUCUUCGCCAUCUUUUAUUAUACACUGCGGUAUAGUGCCCAGAGACUGUUUUCAGUGUAUAUACACUGUAUGUCAGCAUAUACCAGCCUUUGGAUAGAUUUUGAUGAAGAUUUUUGACUCGAGUAAGGAUGGUUUUGGUCCCAAGGAAAUGCAGGGGCGAUAGAAUCCAGUUGGACUCAUCAAGAAGAACAUAAACAAGAGAGGAAAACUAAAUUAGUAAUUAUUCAAGUGCUCUUAACGCAUAACUUAAAAAAAAGAGAAAUAUAUAUAUAACCAUUUGCUCAACGAUGUAAUAAAUGAAGGAAAGACAUACCACAAAAAGGUAAUCAAAGGUGUUUAGCUAAGUAAUUCGUAUGACAUGGAUAAAUCAAUCAAUUAAAAUAGCUUUACCGAUGAUUGAAGCUUGAGGAAACAAAUAAUGAUAAAAACUAAGCUAUUAAGUCCAAGCUUUCCAUGAGAUAGACUUAGGCAUCAUUUGUUUGCACUUAAUGGAGGUCUGAAUCUGAAUGGUUCAGACUUCAGACCAUUAAGUGCAUUUGUUUUUUAUUAAGGUUUUAACUCUGAAUAGGUCUUAAUCAUUCAGAUCUAGAACCAAGUCUUAAUAGGUCAGAAGAGAUAUUUUAGUGUUGGAUAAUAUUCACCACUCUAUUCGUAUUCAGCAGUCACUACCACUAACCACCUCUGCCACCAUCACUAUUGUCAACCACGACACACCUCCACCAUCACAAUCACCAUCGACAAAAAAUACCGCUACCAAUCACAAUUGUCAACCGCUACUACACCUACUACCUCUUUUAUUCUAAUUAUAUUCAUCGUCACCACUGCCGUCAACAACACCACAAUCAGCAACCACUACCGGUCAAUCUCUACUACCAACCAACUCAUCUAUCACAACUAGCACCACCACUAACUACCACUAAUACAUCACAACCUCUACACAUUUUUUGGCCGCCACUACCAUUGUCACUAGUAACGCCACCUCUACCACCACUUCAACUAGUACCAUCACUACGAUUUAUCUCAACUAACAACCAUCUCCACCAUCUCAACUAACAACCAUCUCCACCAUCACACAAUCAACACCUUAAACAACUAACAUCAAGCAACGUCACAUCACAACAACCACCACCACCAUCAAUCACCACCAUCAUAACAGUCAUUACAAUACCGACCAUCACAAUUAAUACCAACAACAUCAUUAAUCACUAACAUCAAUCAUCGUCACCGCAACUACCAUUAUAAGUCAUCUCCACUAUCACUAACAAACAUAAAUAUUUUUUCUCAAUCAAAUACUAAUAAUUUUGUUAUAUUAAAUUACAUACUUUUUUAAAUAUAUAAUUAAUUUUUUAUUUGAAUUGUAUUUUUUAUUUUAUUAUAUAUACAAAUAAUUUUUUUUAUACAUUCAGAUGUUGAAAAACAAACAGUUUUAAUCAUUCAUUUUGCAGAUCUAGAGACAACAUCUUAAUCAUUCAGAUCUGCAUUCAGAUUCAGACGUCUGAAUCUUAAAACAAACAAAUGGAGCCUUAAGGCCAUAACAUAAUUCAUGUAUUAUAUACUAUCAACAACUUAUGCAUUUAUCUGGAAAAUUUUAUUUAUUUAUUUAUUUUUAUUUAUUUUUUAUUUUUUUAUUGCUCCCAUGAUUCACAACAAUGAUUAUUAUGUAAACCAAAGGAUUUGCCAAGUGAUUUACUAACAGAGGUAGCAUAGAAAGAUUCAGAUCCUCAAAAUUUCAGUUUUCCAUUCUAGUGGAUUAUAGCGCAAUAAUUUGUAAAAAAAAUACUAGGUGCAUAAAAAGGCCGCUGAUGUUGCUCAGUUACCACUCUCAACCACAACGUUAUGUCAAGAAGAUGCAAAGUAACAUCAUGUGCUAAAAAAAAACAUGCUUCUAAAAGAAGAAAAAAAAACAGGCGAGAAUUUUGCAACAAAGCCAUAUUUAGAGAUACUAUACUUUUUCUGUACACCGGUAAGCCUCCUAGUUGCUGCCUUUUAUCAAAAACAGAUCCUAACUAAAGGAUAAAUGAAAUUUCGCCGCAUUUAAGAAAAAUUCACAGGAGAAAAGCCAAAGAUCGAAGCCCACUCGAUAUGAAGAAAAAUCGUUAAGAAUCUUCAGUCCAACAAAGUCGAACACCGCAUAUAAUUUCAAACAAGCCCAAACCACAUAAAAGAAAUACCAUAUCGCAAAAAUACAUAACAAUAGUAAUGUUUUCAUUUUUUCUUACACACAAAGUACAAACACAGAUAAACGGAAAAAGAUUCAAAAGGAUGAAGUGAUCACCUUUUUUCGGGCAGCGAACUGGAACGAUGAGUCAACGACUUCACCAUUGUGUUUCUUCGAGAAUUUUUGAUUGCGUAGGAUUAGAAGCACGCGCCUUCCGAAUCCUCAAUUUACCCCCAAGUCCUCCCCUUGACCCCCAUCCCUCAUCGUCUAUUUAUAGAGGAAAAAAAUUAGGGAUUUUCGGACUUCAAAUCUAAAUUGGAGUUGAUUUUCUUGAGACGUUUGAAUUCCAUAGUGAGACAAAAGGGAAGCUAUUGGGAAUUAAUUACUUGCCGAAAAUGGUGAUCCAAAGACAUCGAAUGAUGAAAGGCCUCUGAUCUUUUUUCAAAAAUGGACUGAAAAUUAAAUUCAUACUCGUUGUUAACUAAACGUUGUUGAAGCUAAUGGUUGUUACGGGUUUUGUUGGAGUAUUGUCGUUUUUGGCUGUGGGUUAGGGACGUUUGCUCGCUGUUUUGUUACGGUGUUAUUGAAGCUGUAUUGCUG
This 3497-nucleotide long non-coding RNA is filed under the name Capsicum annuum. Its description in RNAcentral is "long non-coding RNA (CANN_LNC002567)". The record is from RNAcentral. Lineage: Eukaryota; Viridiplantae; Streptophyta; Magnoliopsida; Solanales; Solanaceae.